Molecule: long non-coding RNA, 976 nt
Organism: Carcharodon carcharias (great white shark)
Lineage: Eukaryota; Metazoa; Chordata; Chondrichthyes; Lamniformes; Lamnidae
Exons: 3
Source: RefSeq, a predicted model, not a curated record
CCUCAGCCUCCAGUGCAACUUCAGGAGAUGGCUUGACAAAGGACACGGUAUAAGGACCUCGAUUGAAGACAGAAGCUGGUACUCCUUGUGCAGAAUGUGAGCCAGGAGACUAUCGCAGGAUUGCAGCAUUGUAACAGCGCAGAAGGAGGCCUUUCAGCCCAUCCUAUCUGCACCGGCUCUCCAAAUGAGCAAUUCACCCAGUGCCACUCCCCCGUCCUCUCCCUGUAACCCUGCACAUUCUUCCUUUCCAAAUAAUGACCUAACUGCCUUUUGAAAGCUCUGAUUCACCCUGCCUCCCCCACAUUCUCAGGCAGCGCAUUCCCUAACCACUUGAUGCAUGAAAAAGUUCCUUCUCAUGUCUGCCUUGCUUCUUUUACCAAUCACCUUAAAUCCGUGUCCCUCUGGUUUUCGAUUCCUUCCGUCAAUGGGAACAGUUUCUCCCUAUCUGCUCUGUCCCAGACUCCUCGUGAUUUUGAACACCUCGAUCAAAUCUCCUCUCAACCUCCUUUUCUCCAAGGAGAACAGUCCCAGCUUCUCCAAUAUUUGGUUUGAAAAGAGCAUUCAGCGUCGAAGAUUGAAGGAGGAAUGAGCACCCAUGAUUGGAAAUCCAGAUGAGUGAGCUUAGCUUUUAUUUUCCUGGACUGUCGGACUAGUUGGUGGGGAGCUUUCAUCCUCCAGCCCGCCCCAGCCUGUCCAAAAUUUUACAGUGGGAUGGGCGAAGCCUAGAAGCCAAGGCCAGCAAGGCGGCCCUUGCCCCAGUUGGGGCCCUUAAGGGGGCAAUUAAUGAUGAAUUGACUGCUGCACUUUGCUAACUCCAUCACAUCAACAAAUGAUGCCAAACGUGGCAUCGGAGAUGGUUGGGAGAGCUGUACAUUAAAGCCAAUAAUUUCAAUCAGGUUUAUAUCUAUAUUAACAAAAGCCUAAUUCUUCUGUGUGUGAGGAUCCAUAUUUUCUAUUAAAGUUUAUUUGGUUCCUA